ACCAGCGAGGCCUCGACGCAGCGCUUUCCUUUGCCGGCGCUUUGGAUCCGGCGGCGUCUUUUGGCGUCCCUGAAGUCGCCACUUUGGCCGCUCUGGCACGCCUGGCGUUGGGUGGGCGGCAUCUGUGCGCCCACAUGAACCAGUGGCAUUAUGGUCGAUAUGGUCGUGGUCGGGGCCGGGACUUCGCUGUCCGUGCCCCACCCAAGAAGAAGGGCAGAAACCUCAUCCCAGAAAGGUGGACAGACUAUCUCCCAGUUGGGCAGCGGAUGCCUGGGACUCGUUUCAUUGCUUUCAAAGUUCCGUUGCAAAAAAAAUUUGAAGCAAAGCUUAUGCCAGAAGAAUGCUUUUCUCCCUUGGAUCUUUUUAAUAAAAUUCAAGAACAAAAUGAAGAACUUGGAUUGAUAAUUGAUUUAACAUAUACUCAGCGCUAUUAUAAAGUAGAGGCUCUUGCUGUGUAGCCCAGGCUGACUUCAAACUCAAGAUUAUCCUGCCUCAGCCUCCCAGGGUCUAGGAUUACAGGUGUACGCCACCAUACCAGGCUAUACAAGGUGAAUGUUAUCAUUUAUAUCUUAUUUAAUGAAGUUUCUGCUUGUUUAUUUACACAAUGAUGUCUACAGGAUUCUUUCCUCUGUGUAACAGCUUUCAAAAUAAUAUCUUGGCUCCCUGAUACCUGCCAAUAGUGACUAGUCAGAUUUUAUUUAGUUAGUUAAAUUUUUUCUGUCAUUACAAAUGCCCCUGUAGUUGCCUUUUUGAAUUGGAGCACAGGUGGAGGGCCUUUCAAAAUAAGGGGCUUCUCCUUUGGCUCCUAAAACCUUUUAAAAACAAUAUUAUUAAGAACUUCAUACACUUUUCUGAUCACAGUCACCCCAAUACCAUAGCUAAUUCCUCCUGACUUACACUCCAAUGUCAUGUCCUCUUCUUUUUUUUAUGUGUUUUUUUAUAAUAUGUUCCCCACAUGCUUGAUGGAACCUGUGGAGGAUAGAAGAAGGAGUCGGAUUUUUUAGACCUAGAGUUACAGGUAGCUGUGAGCUGCCUGGCCUGGGUGCUGGAAACUCAACCCAGGUCUUAAGCUUCAACCCUCUAAGCCAUUUCUCCACCCCACCCCCAUUCUGCAUUUUAGAAAUAAUCCACCAAGUCCAGAGUCAGUGCUGCUGAAGUGCACAUGUAUUAAAGCCAUCUACAUGGCAUGGCCAACUGCCCAGGGCCACACUCCUGAGGAAAACUGACGUCCCCUCCCCAGAUAGCUGUCAGCUGCCACUAGCUCCUCAGUGGAUUAAACAUUUCUCCGUGCUAAUCUUUUAAGAUGUCCUGAUCAUUUGUGAUCACUUUGCAUGAAAGAAAUUCCAGGCUCAUCUUAACUACUUCCUGUCCCGAGCUGACUCAGCCAUUGCAGAAAGCUUUGUUUCCUUUCAAUAUUGAUAGUUUUUCAGAUAUAUGAGCAUCAGGUAUAUUUAUUGCUAAUAGACUGAUGUUGUCGUAAAGCUUUUUUGUAGACAGAGCCAGGAACUCUGUAAUAUUUGUGAUAGUGCUUUCCAAUUAAAUCCAGAGUUACAGAUUUUCAUCUAACCUCUUUUUUUCCCCUGAGAUUUAUUUGUGUGUGUGUGUGUGUGUGUGUGUGUGUGUGUGUGUGUGUGUGUCUGUGUCGACCUGUAUGUAUCUCUGUGUAUCUGUGUCUGUCUGUGUUAGUGUCUACUGCAUGUGUGUAGGUGCCGGCUGAGGUCAGAAGAGGGCGCCGGAUCCUUUGAAGCAGGAGUUACAGGCUGUUGUGAGCCAUCAGACAUGGGUGUUGAGAACUGAACUACGUCCGCAGGAAGAACAGCAAGCACUGCUAAGCUCUGAGCCAUCUCCCUAGCCCCGCCUCCCCUGUUCUUUCUGUUAUUCAUAGCUCCUUUUGCCCAGCUCAUUACUACUUUGUGCAAGCACAGAAUAGUGAAAUAGUUAUUAGGUAGAACUGUUCACAUGUUUAGUCACCCCAUAUAUACACCCUGAUUCACAUUGAAUUUGGUGUGUUCUGUAUACCUAGUGACUGUCCUAUAGUCUUAAUGAGAACCAAGUUCUAUUUCCUGGUUGAAACAGCUUGGUAAGCAGUGGCUCUGUAGUCAGAAGUGCUAUCAUAGUGAGUUUGUCAUUAUCAGUUUAUAUUCAGGCUCCUCAAAUCUUUCAUUAUCUACUUACACAUGAAGUAAUGUGUAUUUGUCUUUGUUUUGCUUUCUAGGAUUUGCCAGAAACUAUUUCUUACAAAAAAAUUUUUACAGUUGGUCAUCAAGUACCUGAUAAUGACACUAUCUGUCAGUUCAAAUGUGCAGUUAAAGAGUUUUUAAAGAAAAAUAAAAACAAUGACAAACUUAUUGGUGUCCACUGCACCCAUGGCUUAAAUAGGACUGGCUACCUCAUUUGCAGAUAUUUGAUUGAUGUAGAAGGCAUGAGGCCAGAUGAUGCAAUUGAAUUAUUCAACAGGUGCCGGGGGCAUUGCAUAGAAAGGCAGAACUACAUUGAAAACCUGCAGAAACGUCGUGUCAAAAAGAACCAGAAUGUUAGUGCAUCUAGGUCAGGUGAUCUUGAAGACUCAGCACCUCAUACGGAGCAAGUCCACACCACUGACAAACCUGUGAACAAAAAACCUAAGAAGAAGCGGCGUGGUGGUCAUCUGGCAUCUUCCCAGAAUGUUUAUACCCAGACCCAGAGCUCACUGUACUCAUUCAGAAAAUGGUCACAAAAUCAGAGUGUUUACCAGAGAGGCCUUGUCCCUCCUGGUCCAGCUGGAGAGUACUAUUCACAAAGAAGAUUCUUCUGGAACAUGAGGCCAAAUGGCAGUCAAGCGACCCACAAUAAGAAGUGGACUGCUGAUAGUUACCAGAGACCUUUCUACCCAGCCUACUGGGAAUGGAACCUGUGAGGCACACUGUGGCUGGUCUGUCAUAGGGGCCACCUGAGAUCAGAGCUGGACAGAAGACAGCUGGGUGAUUUAAUAAAAUCAGGUCAAAAAGAAUUUUAAAAAUUUUUUGAACAUUUUUAACUUUUUAAACUGUUUUACUAUUCCUUCAUGUGUGUUGAAGGUGAAUUUCCUUGCUUUUUACCUCCCUGCUGGUGGCUCUGGCAGUCUAGAACACCUCAAUUCCAGGCCUCAACUUUCCUCAGAACAUUCUGAAUAGAUAAACUGUUACAAACUUGCAAA
Non-coding RNA from Arvicanthis niloticus (Nile rat), 3175 nucleotides. The record is from RefSeq and is a predicted model, not a curated record. Lineage: Eukaryota; Metazoa; Chordata; Mammalia; Rodentia; Muridae.